This 86-nucleotide transfer RNA is filed under the name Candidatus Zhuqueibacterota bacterium 4484_87. RNAcentral's name for it is "candidate division KSB1 bacterium 4484_87 tRNA-Leu". It matches the Rfam family "tRNA". Rfam says of the family: Transfer RNA (tRNA) molecules are approximately 80 nucleotides in length. Their secondary structure includes four short double-helical elements and three loops (D, anti-codon, and T loops). Lineage: Bacteria; Pseudomonadati. The record is from RNAcentral.
GCCGAAGUGGUGGAACUGGCAGACACGCUAUCUUGAGGGGGUAGUGCCCACCGGGUGUGCGGGUUCGAAUCCCGCCUUCGGCACAA